AUGAACGCUAGCGACAGGCCUAACACAUGCAAGUCGAGGGGCAGCACAAGGAGCAAUCUGAGGUGGCGACCGGCGCACGGGUGAGUAACACGUAUGCAACCUGCCUGUAAGCGGGGAAUAACCCGUUGAAAGACGGACUAAUACCGCAUAAUACUAAAUUACUGCAUGGUAAUUUAUUUAAACAUUUAUGGCUUACAGAUGGGCAUGCGCAUGAUUAGCUAGUUGGAGAGGUAACGGCUCCCCAAGGCAACGAUCAUUAGGGGUUCUGAGAGGAAGGUCCCCACACUGGUACUGAGACACGGACCAGACUCCUACGGGAGGCAGCAGUGAGGAAUAUUGGUCAAUGGACGAGAGUCUGAACCAGCCAAGUCGCGUGCAGGAAGAAUGUCCUAUGGAUUGUAAACUGCUUUUGCAGGGGAAUAAAGUGCAUCACGUGUGAUGUUUUGUAUGUACUCUGCGAAUAAGGAUCGGCUAACUCCGUGCCAGCAGCUGC
Molecule: ribosomal RNA, 493 nt
Filed under: uncultured bacterium
Lineage: Bacteria
Description: bacterial SSU rRNA
Rfam family: Bacterial small subunit ribosomal RNA
Source: RNAcentral